UGCUUGAAUUUGAAAAUUAAUGCAUUGAUAUGAAUGUUCUUCGGUGCUAAAAUGGCGCGUUCUGUCAACCAAUCAUGGUUUCUGUAAUUCUGAAGAAUAUUUGGAAAAACACAUUCAAUCAAUUCAUCUAUCGAUUUCGUAAUUGUACAAAAAUUGUUCGGUACAGUGAUCAAUCCGUUGGUUCUGUCGAUUUGUAUUUUGCCAUCACCAAUUUGUAACAAUUGUUCUGAAAACUCAUGGGCAGCUGGAUCAUUUUGUAGGAGUUGACCGAGGAAUGACAGGCAAUGUUUGUCGAAAAUCCCCUGGCUGUAAUAUCAAAGCAUCACCAAAAAGCUGUUGGUUAUCACGUAAAUCUUGCAUUGUUCGAUUAAAUGCUUCUAGUAAUUUUUUAUUCGCCAUUGUACACUCAUCCCAUAAAAUAAAUGACGUUAAUCGCAGAACUUUUGCCAUAGCAGAAUUUCUUGAAAUAUUGCAAGUUGGAGUUUCAAUCACCUGUAUAUUCAAUGGCAAUUUUAAUGCAGAGUGUGCUGUCCGACCACCUUCUAAUAAUGUAGCAGCAAUUCCCGAAGAUGCAAGUGCCAAUGUAAUUUUCAGUUCCGAUCGAAUAGUGGCUAAAAUCAGUGAUAUAACGAACGUUUUGCCUGUACCACCAGGUGCAUCCAAGAAAUAUAACCCACCUGCAUUAUUGGAAAUGGCUUGCAUGAUUGUGUCAUAGACAUGUUUUUGCUGAAUA
Long non-coding RNA from Bactrocera neohumeralis, 733 nucleotides. RefSeq lists it as uncharacterized. The record is from RefSeq and is a predicted model, not a curated record. The transcript is spliced from 2 exons. NCBI's taxonomy places the organism in Eukaryota, Metazoa, Arthropoda, Insecta, Diptera, Tephritidae.